RNAcentral lists this ribosomal RNA (1472 nucleotides) under Bacillus subtilis. RNAcentral describes it as "bacterial SSU rRNA". It matches the Rfam family "Bacterial small subunit ribosomal RNA". The record is from RNAcentral. Lineage: Bacteria; Bacillati; Bacillota; Bacilli; Caryophanales; Bacillaceae.
CCUAAUACUGCAAGUCGAGCGGAAGAUGGGAGCUUGCUCCCUGAUGUUAGCGGCGGACGGGUGAGUAACACGUGGGUAACCUGCCUGUAAGACUGGGAUAACUCCGGGAAACCGGGGCUAAUACCGGAUGGUUGUUUGAACCGCAUGGUUCAAACAUAAAAGGUGGCUUCGGCUACCACUUACAGAUGGACCCGCGGCGCAUUAGCUAGUUGGUGAGGUAACGGCUCACCAAGGCGACGAUGCGUAGCCGACCUGAGAGGGUGAUCGGCCACACUGGGACUGAGGCACGGCCCAGACUCCUACGGGAGGCAGCAGUAGGGAAUCUUCCGCAAUGGACGAAAGUCUGACGGAGCAACGCCGCGUGAGUGAUGAAGGUUUUCGGAUCGUAAAGCUCUGUUGUUAGGGAAGAACAAGUACCGUUCGAAUAGGGCGGUACCUUGACGGUACCUAACCAGAAAGCCACGGCUAACUACGUGCCAGCAGCCGCGGUAAUACGUAGGUGGCAAGCGUUGUCCGGAAUUAUUGGGCGUAAAGGGCUCGCAGGCGGUUUCUUAAGUCUGAUGUGAAAGCCCCCGGCUCAACCGGGGAGGGUCAUUGGAAACUGGGGAACUUGAGUGCAGAAGAGGAGAGUGGAAUUCCACGUGUAGCGGUGAAAUGCGUAGAGAUGUGGAGGAACACCAGUGGCGAAGGCGACUCUCUGGUCUGUAACUGACGCUGAGGAGCGAAAGCGUGGGGAGCGAACAGGAUUAGAUACCCUGGUAGUCCACGCCGUAAACGAUGAGUGCUAAGUGUUAGGGGGUUUCCGCCCCUUAGUGCUGCAGCUAACGCAUUAAGCACUCCGCCUGGGGAGUACGGUCGCAAGACUGAAACUCAAAGGAAUUGACGGGGGCCCGCACAAGCGGUGGAGCAUGUGGUUUAAUUCGAAGCAACGCGAAGAACCUUACCAGGUCUUGACAUCCUCUGACAAUCCUAGAGAUAGGACGUCCCCUUCGGGGGCAGAGUGACAGGUGGUGCAUGGUUGUCGUCAGCUCGUGUCGUGAGAUGUUGGGUUAAGUCCCGCAACGAGCGCAACCCUUGAUCUUAGUUGCCAGCAUUCAGUUGGGCACUCUAAGGUGACUGCCGGUGACAAACCGGAGGAAGGUGGGGAUGACGUCAAAUCAUCAUGCCCCUUAUGACCUGGGCUACACACGUGCUACAAUGGACAGAACAAAGGGCAGCGAAACCGCGAGGUUAAGCCAAUCCCACAAAUCUGUUCUCAGUUCGGAUCGCAGCCUGCAACUCGACUGCGUGAAGCUGGAAUCGCUAGUAAUCGCGGAUCAGCAUGCCGCGGUGAAUACGUUCCCGGGCCUUGUACACACCGCCCGUCACACCACGAGAGUUUGUAACNCCCGAAGUCGGUGAGGUAGCCUUUUAGGAGCCAGCCGCCGAAGGUGGGACAGAUGAUUGGGGGAAGUCGAACAAGGAGCCCUUGG